GUGGGGAAUAUUGGACAAUGGGCGAAAGCCUGAUCCAGCCAUGCCGCGUGUGUGAAGAAGGCCUUUUGGUUGUAAAGCACUUUAAGCGAGGAGGAGGCUACCGAGAUUAAUACUCUUGGAUAGUGGACGUUACUCGCAGAAUAAGCACCGGCUAACUCUGUGCCAGCAGCCGCGGUAAUACAGAGGGUGCAAGCGUUAAUCGGAUUUACUGGGCGUAAAGCGCGCGUAGGUGGCCAAUUAAGUCAAAUGUGAAAUCCCCGAGCUUAACUUGGGAAUUGCAUUCGAUACGUGUUGGCUAGAGUAUGGGAGAGGAUGGUAGAAUUCCAGGUGUAGCGGUGAAAUGCGUAGAGAUCUGGAGGAAUACCGAUGGCGAAGGCAGCCAUCUGGCCUAAUACUGACACUGAGGUGCGAAAGCAUGGGGAGCAAACAGGAUUAGAUACCCGGGUAGUCC
Molecule: ribosomal RNA, 451 nt
Filed under: uncultured bacterium
Lineage: Bacteria
Description: partial 16S ribosomal RNA
Rfam family: Bacterial small subunit ribosomal RNA
Source: RNAcentral